RNAcentral lists this non-coding RNA (147 nucleotides) under Cercocebus atys (sooty mangabey). Lineage: Eukaryota; Metazoa; Chordata; Mammalia; Primates; Cercopithecidae. RNAcentral also lists the same sequence under 5 other names. The record is from Rfam by way of RNAcentral.
GCUGGGCAUGGUGGCGCAUACCUGUAAUCCCAGCUACUUGGGAAGCUGAGGCAGGAGAAUCGCUUGAACCAGGGAGGUGGAGGUUGCAGUGAGCCGAGAUCACGCCACUGCACUCCAGCCUGGUGACAGAGUGAGACUCUGUUUCAA